Molecule: transfer RNA, 75 nt
Filed under: Candidatus Bathyarchaeota archaeon
Lineage: Archaea; Thermoproteati; Candidatus Bathyarchaeota
Description: tRNA-Pro
Rfam family: tRNA
About the family: Transfer RNA (tRNA) molecules are approximately 80 nucleotides in length.
Source: RNAcentral
GGGGGUGUCGGCUAGCUUGGCCUAGGCUUCGUGGCUUGGGCUCGUGAAACCCCGGUUCGAAUCCGGGCACCCCCA